GGGGCCUUGAGAAAAAAAAUAGGGUGCCAAUGGCCAUUCUGAGAUUUUAUGCAAAUUUUCAGUAGUUUGGUGUACUUGUAAAUGAAACUGUAGACCCAGCAGGGACUGAAGGAGUUCCAGUGAACUAGACUAGUUUCUCCUUCUUGUGUCAUCUUGUGGUGUUGCUGUUUUCAUCUCUUCAACUACAUCAUGAAAUCUGCAAUGCACUUCGCCCGUGGCGGAUUUAAAGGUGAGGAGAGGAGCUGAUGUGAUGUGGUAAAAACAGGACUCAGCUGUGUUAAAAACCUCUGCACGCCUUAUCCUCUCCUUCUUUUCUACUUGUGCCACUAGGAGGAGCUGUGUUAGGGAGAGGGCUACAUGUGCCGGGCUACACCACUCACCAAAAUGCAAUGUGUGCUUGGACAUGCCUCAUCGGCGCGGCAGGAAAAUAGAGCCCAUGGAGUUAAAAUCAAACACCAAGCCCAGGCUGAUAACGGAUCUGCCGAAACAGCACAAAAACUGAAGAUUUAGCUCUGGAACUUGAAAUUACUUACGAUUUGAUUAAAUACUGGGCUUUUUUACUCUGUUAAACACUUGAUCCUGAUUGGUCAAAAUCCCAUGACACAAGUUUAGGAUACUAAGAGCAAGAAAAUCAUAUCACAUGUCAUAUCAAUAUAACGUCCAUUAGCCUCAGUAAACAACAAAGAGUAUGUUUCCAGUACUACUUGCAGAGGGUGUUAAAAUACUCAAGAAAGCAAUAAAGACAUCAAUCAAAUUAAAGAAAACAGUAUGUGUUUUUAUGCAAAGGACAAGUCAAAUCAAUCUACGUCAAUCUGGGGCACUGUUCAUGAUUUUACCACUUCCUGUUGAUAAUGUGGCAGAAUUAGUACUUUCUGAUCUCAUUGCCCCUGGUUUGUGUCACUUUUGGCUCCGCCCAGACAAAGCAGUCUUUGCUCAUCUUGUCUAAUAAUCCAACUCCUCUCCUUUGUUCCACUUGUUCUGAACAAUAUUUUUCAUUUCUAGGAUUCACAUUUUUGAUAAUGUUGACUUACAGUCACUGUGAGGAGUUUAACUGGUUUUGAAAUAACUUACAGAGUGAAAUACAAUUACCAUCAACAAGACUGAAUGUUUGUGCCUGUUCUUGGUUUGGAUUGUACUUCAGGAUAGAGUUUCUUUUUAAAUAGUGUUUUAUUUCUUGUAAUUAGCAGUACAUAUUAUUCUAAACACAGAAACUCUGCAAUCAAGGUUUUCCUAAGUAGAGAAUUAAAAUGGCAAUGAACAAGUUGAAAGGUUAACCAGGGUUUCACUAGCAAUGACCAUGCCACAACGAUAUAAGUUUGAAUAUUUAAUACAAGUUCAGGAAUGUGUAUAUCUUGUCUGAUGCGUGUAUGUUGUGAUGGAUAAUGACGUCGAUGAGGAGUGUCGCAUGUCUGGUUGGUCUGGGAGGUUCUGUAGAGGCCCGGCAGUGAGAGACUCAGGAUGGGGGUUCCAUCUCAGGCGUAGCUCUGCCCAAGCUUGGUCCGACCCCCAAAGAGUUAUAAUGAAAGGGCGCUUAAUUGAGUGUGGGCCUGACGCAGAUCGUGGAGAUUAUUUCGGAUGUAGGAGAGGUAUGCCUGAGAUGACCAUCGUCCAAGGGUUUGAAUUGUUCGAUCUGAUAUGCCAAGCCCGGCUGCUGUGGAUGCUGCGCCGAUGCAGAAUGAAUGGGCUGAGUAGUGCUCUGAUAUUAUCCCUGACAUGAGUAGGACUUGAUGCAGGUGUUCAUGGAACCAGAAUCGUAUCGCCAUUUUUCCAUUUUUGGUAAGGAAAAGAGGGUCGUGAGGUGAUGCUUGAGCUGCAUACCUGGAGCUGAUGUAUUUGGUGAGUGGUUCGAAUGGACUGAGGCAGUAAUUUAAGCGGAAGAUGUAAAUGGAAGUGUAAACUGCAAUGUCUGAUAGUUUGGGGUGAUAGGAUGGAUUGAAGAAGGAGGAAGUCGGAGCGAAUUUGGAGCAUCAGAGGAAACCGAAGAAGGCGAGCAGGAACAUUGAUUCUAGUGUAGAAUCAACCGUUGGAGAUGAGUAGCCUGAACGUAGGGUACGAAUGCAGAGGCUGAGUAAGUUGGAGGUGAGUGGUAGGCACUAGUGGGGAAAGUAGGUUCCUUUUUUCUUAAACCCUUGAUCAGCAUGGUGACGUGAGAGUAGGAGGUAGCGGUGCAUUGAGAGCCAGUGAUGAGUUUGAGGAAGAAAUUGAUGCCAGCGAGGUAAGUUUGAAUGGUAGAGGAUCGGAUAUUUUGGAUGGUGUGGGCGCGAGUUAUGAAAUUGCAGAUGGAUACAAUGUCCAGAGAUGGGAAGGGCAGCUGGUAUGCGGAGUGGUAGGACUUGAAGCAGUUCCAGCCUGUCAGGUAAGCAGAUAGAGUGCUGGGAGCAAGACUGUUGAGAACUGCAUCUUGUGAGUCAUGAGUGAGGUUUAGUAGCUGGGGAGUUAAUUGAACGUUGUGGCUGAAAACGGUGGGACUGGUGAGGGAUGCGGAUCGGACUCUGGGGCCAGAUGUCUGAAUUCCUGAAAGGAGAAGCGAGACAGAGCGUCAGCAAUGGUGUUCUGGUAUCCAGGAAUAGGAGCUGCCCUGAGAAUGAAUUGAUGAGGAGAUGAGAUUAGUGUGAGUCUGCGCAGAAACUGCAUGAUUGACGGGGAAUAAGAUCUGCCUUUGUUCAGGAUUUCUACGACUGCUGUGUUAUAUCUGAGAUGCUCCAGCCUUAUUGCCCACCCCGACCCCUAAGAUCAGCUGAUCAACUGUUACUGACGGUCCCCAGUACUAGGCUGAAGCUCAGAGGGGACAGAGCAUUUGCCGCUGCUGCCCCUAAGCUCUGGAAUGAGUUGCCCUUGAAAAUUAGGAAGGUCUCCUCAUUUCCUGUUUUUAAAUCUCUUUUAAAAAUGCACUUUUACUCCUUGGCUUUUGAUACAUUAUAGUGUUUUUUUUUUUUUUAUCAUCUUAGCACUUGCCGUGAGCCUGCUCAUUUACAUACUUAUUUAUUCUUUUGCAUUAAUGUAUUUCUGCUCGCUUUAUCUUGUUCUUUGAUUGUUUUAUUUGUUUUUAUGUGUCAUUGUACAGCACUUUGGCUACCCUUUUGGUUCUUUUAAAUGUGCUAUAGAAAUAAAGUUGAUUGAUUGAUUGAUUGAU
Non-coding RNA from Xyrichtys novacula (pearly razorfish), 3133 nucleotides. Lineage: Eukaryota; Metazoa; Chordata; Actinopteri; Labriformes; Labridae. The record is from the annotation of a GenBank genome assembly.